This 285-nucleotide unclassified non-coding RNA is filed under the name Mycena adscendens. Its description in RNAcentral is "partial internal transcribed spacer region". The stretch from base 1 to 46 matches the Rfam family "Eukaryotic small subunit ribosomal RNA", at positions 1786 to 1831 of the family's 1831-position model. The record is from RNAcentral. Lineage: Eukaryota; Fungi; Basidiomycota; Agaricomycetes; Agaricales; Mycenaceae.
AAGUCGUAACAAGGUUUCCGUAGGUGAACCUGCGGAAGGAUCAUUAUUGAAUACUAUUGAGCGCUGUGCUGGCCUUUCGGGGCAUGUGCACGCGUUCUAUAUUAUAUCUAUCUCUUGUGAACCUAGUGUGGGCUUUGGAUGAACAGUUUGGUCUUUGUGCCUUUCUGCGAGUCUGAAGACCAUUUUUUAUAAACAUUUAAAAAAGUCAACAGAAUGUCUUCUUUACUUGAUGCAAGUCGGUAAAAAAAUCUAUACAACUUUCAGCAACGGAUCUCUUGGCUCUCC